UAAUACGGAGGGGGCUAGCGUUGUUCGGAAUUACUGGGCAUAAAGCGCGCGUAGGCGGAUCUGCAAGUCGGGGGUGGAAUCCCGAGGCUCAACCUCGGAACUGCCUUCGAUACUGCGGGUCUCGAGUCCGGGAGAGGUGAGUGGAAUUCCUAGUGUAGAGGUGAAAUUCGUAGAUAUUAGGAAGAACACCAGUGGCGAAGGCGGCUCACUGGCCCGGUACUGACGCUGAGGCGCGAAAGCGUGGGAAGCAAACAGGAUUAGAUACCCUGGUAAUCCACGCCGUAAACUAUGGGUGCUAGCCGUCGGUCGGCAUGCCGGUCGGUGGCGCAGCAAACGCAUUAAGCACCCCGCCUGGGGAGUACGGUCGCAAGAUUA
Molecule: ribosomal RNA, 375 nt
Filed under: uncultured bacterium
Lineage: Bacteria
Description: bacterial SSU rRNA
Rfam family: Bacterial small subunit ribosomal RNA
Source: RNAcentral